Molecule: ribosomal RNA, 468 nt
Filed under: uncultured bacterium
Lineage: Bacteria
Description: partial 16S ribosomal RNA
Rfam family: Bacterial small subunit ribosomal RNA
Source: RNAcentral
GACGAACGCUGGCGGCGUGCUUAACACAUGCAAGUCGAACGGAAAGGCCCUGCUUUUGUGGGGUGCUCGAGUGGCGAACGGGUGAGUAACACGUGAGUAACCUGCCCUUGACUUUGGGAUAACUUCAGGAAACUGGGGCUAAUACCGGGUAGGAGCUCCUGCUGCAUGGUGGGGUUUGGAAAGUUUCGGCGGUUGGGGAUGGACUCGCGGCUUAUCAGCUUGUUGGUGGGGUAGUGGCUUACCAAGGCUUUGACGGGUAGCCGGCCUGAGAGGGUGACCGGCCACAUUGGGACUGAGAUACGGACCAGACUCCUACGGGAGGCAGCAGUGGGGAAUAUUGCACAAUGGGCGGAAGCCUGAUGCAGCAACGCCGCGUGCGGGAUGACGGCCUUCGGGUUGUAAACCGCUUUCGCCUGUGACGAAGCGUGAGUGACGGUAAUGGGUAAAGAAGCACCGGCUAACUACGUG